Molecule: ribosomal RNA, 253 nt
Filed under: uncultured bacterium
Lineage: Bacteria
Description: partial 16S ribosomal RNA
Rfam family: Bacterial small subunit ribosomal RNA
Source: RNAcentral
UACAGAGGGUGCAAGCGUUGUUCGGAAUUAUUGGGCGUAAAGGGCGCGUAGGCGGUGCGGUAAGUCUGUAGUGAAAUCUCUGGGCUCAACUCAGAGUCUGCUGCAGAAACUGCCGUGCUUGAGUGUGGGAGAGGUGAGUGGAAUUCCCGGUGUAGCGGUGAAAUGCGUAGAUAUUGGGAGGAACACCAGUGGCGAAGGCGGCUCACUGGACCGGUACUGACGCUGAUGCGCGAAAGCGUGGGGAGCAAACGGG